RNAcentral lists this long non-coding RNA (268 nucleotides) under Mytilus galloprovincialis (Mediterranean mussel). The record is from RNAcentral. Lineage: Eukaryota; Metazoa; Mollusca; Bivalvia; Mytilida; Mytilidae.
GAGAGAUUGAACUUCAUAUAUUUACAGACGCCAGUCAACAAGCAUAUGGCGCGUGUGCCUAUUUAGUCAAAGGGAACACGUCUAGUCUAAUCAUUACAAAAAACAGAGUCGCUCCGGUAAAAACUAUAACUUUGCCACGUUUGGAAUUAAUGGGUGCGCUGAUUGGCGCCAGAUUAGCAAACUAUUUAGUAGGAUUUAUUGACACACACAAGACAUAUUUUUGGAGUGACAGUCAAAUAGUGUUGAGUUGGAUAUCGUCAACAAAAAC